Long non-coding RNA from Betta splendens (Siamese fighting fish), 1671 nucleotides. RefSeq lists it as uncharacterized. Lineage: Eukaryota; Metazoa; Chordata; Actinopteri; Anabantiformes; Osphronemidae. The record is from RefSeq and is a predicted model, not a curated record. The transcript is spliced from 2 exons.
AACCAGAUCAAAACAGGCCAAAAUGGGCCAAAAUGGGCCAAGACGGGCCAAAACAGACCAAAACGGGCCAAACCAUGUAAAAACAGGCCAAACUGGGCCAAAACAGACCAAGACGGGCCAAACUGGACCAAACCAGGCCAAACCAAUCAGCUCAAUCGGCAUUUACCAGAUAGAUAAACAGUGGAAAGAAAGAACCCCCCCACACGUCAGCUAAUAAAUUGCGCUGCACUCCGUGCGUUGCCGUCUUUUCCCAAACGUUAUCCUAACCUCUUUUCCUGUGGCCUGAUAGUUUUACCAGCCAAGUGACCCAAGCUUAGCCCCUGACCUCUUCACAGCUACUGCGCGGCACCGCUGUGGAAACGGCCUCGCCGCUCACCCCUCGGCUUCACCUCGGACACUCAACAGCGAGAAAAACCAUCAUCACAUUCCUCACUUCCUUUUUUUUUACCUUGCAAACCCUUUGUAAUGGCCAUUUACUCAGGUAUUAUGACCUCACCGUAUUUACAACCUGUGUUGUUAACUUAUUACAAGUAUUUGGAAGAACCCACACACAAUGUUAUAUAUAAAUAUAAUUCUUUUUUUUUCAUUUUUUUUCUUUUUUUAAUUCUUUGUUUAGAAGGGGAAGAAGGACAUUAAUCAAAACAGCAAAAGAGAUGCUGGCAUGUCCAUAAUGUGCAAUGUGCUGGAUGAAACAGCUCCACAAAAACUAAGGCUAAACAAAGUUAAGUGAUUGACAACGCUGUCUGGCUUUACUCAAUUAACUAUCCCAUUGUGCUCCUCUUUGCAGAGUCCCCUCGCCCCCGACCCCUUUCUCCUCGCGCCCCUUUAUCCUCCCCAUCACAGAGUUUUGCUAGGCUAAUACUUCCAAGGAAAUAGAGAGCUCUUUUUCUGCAGGGGCUCCUCUCCUUGACCUUCCAUUGCUCGUCGCUUCUCUUUCAGCCACUUCACAGUGUCUCUGGGGUUAGUGGGGAGAAUGCGGAGAGUACAUCAGCGCCGAGGGGCCGGCUCGGGGCAGGACCCCGGCCCAUCACUUCAAAGUUGGCCCGCAUUCAUUAAUUGUCCUUUGAAUUAAUAUUGGAGGAUCACAAUGUGGGUGCCAAUAGAGAAAGAACCUUUAAUGAAGCAUAGAGUCUGCAUUCAGUUGCAGAUCAGCGAGUGUGGAGUUUUUUCUGUUCUCUUUUUUCUGAGAAAGAGGGAAUUUUGAGAAUGAUCCAUCCAUCCAUCCAUCCAUCCAUCCAUCCAUCCAUCCAUCCAUCCAUCCAUCCAUCCAUCCAUCCAUCCAUCCAUCCAUCCAUCCAAGGUCCACUGGCCUACAUCCAGGAUAAUAGGCUGUCUAAACGUAUGAACACACAGAGUGAGGCCCACAUAUAAAUUUCUCUAUUAUGCAGCCUUGAGAGGAAAAUGGAAAUGUGGCUAUGGCACACAUUCCUCUGGUUGCAUUCAGACCCUCUGUGUCCUGAGACUAGCGAGAACCCUCCACAUCAUUUAGCAGCUCGCUGUGGAAACGCACGGGCCGGCGAGACCGAAAUUUAAAGAAAUCCAACAUCUGUCUCUUUGUUUACAGUUGUUUUCGGCCCCGGCAGAUCGGGCGUGGAAGGCUGGUCUAACAAGUUGGCUCCCGGAGUUUCGGCUACUUAAAAAAAAAAAAAAACGGGGGGAACGCUGUACAAA